UGGGGAAUCUUGGACAAUGGGCGCAAGCCUGAUCCAGCCAUGCCGCGUGAGUGAAGAAGGCCUUCGGGUUGUAAAGCUCUUUUGUCAGGGACGAUAAUGACGGUACCUGAAGAAUAAGCCCCGGCAAACUUCGUGCCAGCAGCCGCGGUAAUACGGAGGGGGCUAGCGUUGUUCGGAAUGACUGGGCGUAAAGCGCGCGUAGGCGGAUCGGAAAGUUGGGGGUGAAAUCCCGGGGCUCAACCUCGGAAU
Molecule: ribosomal RNA, 249 nt
Filed under: uncultured Hyphomicrobiales bacterium
Lineage: Bacteria; Pseudomonadati; Pseudomonadota; Alphaproteobacteria; Hyphomicrobiales
Description: uncultured Rhizobiales bacterium partial 16S ribosomal RNA
Rfam family: Bacterial small subunit ribosomal RNA
Source: RNAcentral